This 72-nucleotide transfer RNA is filed under the name Loxodonta africana (African savanna elephant). It matches the Rfam family "tRNA". From Rfam's summary of the family: Transfer RNA (tRNA) molecules are approximately 80 nucleotides in length. The record is from Rfam by way of RNAcentral. Lineage: Eukaryota; Metazoa; Chordata; Mammalia; Proboscidea; Elephantidae.
GCAUUGGUGUUUCGGUGGCAGAAUUCUUGCCUUCGAUGCAGGAGACCUGGGUUCAGAUUCCUGGCCAAUGCA